This 77-nucleotide non-coding RNA is filed under the name Larimichthys crocea (large yellow croaker). RNAcentral's name for it is "Eukaryotic large subunit ribosomal RNA". It matches the Rfam family "Eukaryotic large subunit ribosomal RNA", at positions 24 to 100 of the family's 3401-position model. The record is from Rfam by way of RNAcentral. Lineage: Eukaryota; Metazoa; Chordata; Actinopteri; Sciaenidae.
CCCGCUGAAUUUAAGCAUAUUGCUAAGCGGAGGAAAAGAAACUAACCAGGAUUCCCUCAGUAGCGGCGAGCGAAGAG